Molecule: unclassified non-coding RNA, 279 nt
Filed under: Mycobacterium sp. RiVM 9801560
Lineage: Bacteria; Bacillati; Actinomycetota; Actinomycetes; Mycobacteriales; Mycobacteriaceae
Description: 16S-23S intergenic spacer
Source: RNAcentral
AAGGAGCACCACGAAAAGCACUCCAAUUGGUGGGGUGCGAGCCGUGAGGGGUCCUCGUCUGUAGUGGACGAAGACCGGGUGCAUAACAGCAAAUGAUUGCCAGACACACUAUUGGGCCCUGAGACAACACUCGGUGAUCCGUGUGGAGUCCCUCCAUCUUGGUGGUGGGGUGUGGUGUUUGAGUAUUGGAUAGUGGUUGCGAGCAUCUAGAUGAACGCGUAAUCCUUCGUGGCUGACGUGUUCGUCGAAAUGUGUAAUUUCUUUUUUAGCUUUGUGUGU